UACGGAGGGUGCGAGCGUUGUCCGGAAUCAUUGGGCGUAAAGGGCGCGUAGGUGGCGGGAUCAGCGUGCGGUGAAAGCUCGGGGCUCAACCCCGGGUCGGCCGUGCGAACUAUUCUGCUGGAGCACUGUAGAGGCAGGCGGAAUUCCGGGUGUAGCGGUGGAAUGCGUAGAGAUCCGGAAGAACACCGGUGGCGAAGGCGGCCUGCUGGGCAGUGGCUGACACUGAGGCGCGACAGCGUGGGGAGCAAACAGG
This 253-nucleotide ribosomal RNA is filed under the name uncultured bacterium. Its description in RNAcentral is "partial 16S ribosomal RNA". It matches the Rfam family "Bacterial small subunit ribosomal RNA", at positions 524 to 776 of the family's 1533-position model. The record is from RNAcentral.